UACGGAGGAUCCUAGUGUUAUCCGGAUUUAUUGGGUUUAAAGGGAGCGUAGGCGGGAGGUCAAGUCAGCUGUGAAAUGUAUCUGCUUAACGGGUACACUGCAGUUGAAACUGGUUUUCUUGAGUGCGUAAGAGGCAGGCGGAAUUCGUUGUGUAGCGGUGAAAUGCUUAGAUAUGACGAGGAACUCCUAUUGCGAAGGCAGCUUGCUGGGUCGUUACUGGCGCUGAUGCUCGAAGGUGCGGGGAUCAAACAGGAUUAGAUA
This 261-nucleotide ribosomal RNA is filed under the name uncultured prokaryote. RNAcentral describes it as "partial 16S ribosomal RNA". It matches the Rfam family "Bacterial small subunit ribosomal RNA", at positions 524 to 784 of the family's 1533-position model. The record is from RNAcentral.